Molecule: long non-coding RNA, 1640 nt
Filed under: Phoenix dactylifera (date palm)
Lineage: Eukaryota; Viridiplantae; Streptophyta; Magnoliopsida; Arecales; Arecaceae
Description: long non-coding RNA (PDAC_LNC007919)
Source: RNAcentral
UGGGGACACCAAUGAGCCAGCAUCACUUUGGCUUGACUACUAGUCCACAUUUCUUGUGUCGUCCAGUUUUUAUUUUUUAUUUCUCUAGUUAUUUAUUUAAGUCCAGUUCAAGUAAUGUUGAGUCAAGUCAGUGUCGGUCCAGCCUAAAUAGUAUUGAGUCCAUGUUAUAAUAAAGCCCACUUCCAAAAUAAACCAGUCAAAGAACUACCAGCCGGUUCGCUCAUCAAGACUGGUUCCUUCACAGCGGUUCACCUUGGCUUCCCCGGUUCCUUCACAAAAAAAAAAACCAAUCAGCGGUUCACUCAUCAAGACCGGUUCUGUUACAAAACAAAAAAAAAAACCCGUCAGCUCCUCUGUUUUGUUCUACCGCACCGUACUCAUCUUCUCCCCAGCCGGUUCCAAGGAGGUUUUCUUCCCAACCAAGUGAAGCUCCAAGUCAUCUUCCCCAGCCGGCGAGUCAUCUUCCCCAGCCGGCGAGUCAUCUUUCCCAGCCGACGAGUCAACUUCCUCCCAGCCGAUGAAGUCAUCCUCCCAGCCGACGAGUUAUCUUCCAGCUCCAGCCGAAGAAGACGAAGAGAAGGAAAAAACCGAAGGUAACCCAUCCGGUUCCUGCCGUUGCAAAUGGAGAAGCCACCAGAUCCAACGCUGGAGUCUUCCACCGCUCUGUUUCAAGACAAUCUCAGCCGGUUCCCACAGAAUUUUGGAUCUUAAACGCUGCCGAGAAGAGGCCAUCCCGAUCCAUUUCAACGCUUCAUUCUCCAUCACGAAUCUCCCCUGUUUCUACGAUUCCUUGGAAUGUUUAUUGCCCAUCAAUGCAUCAAUGUAUCAGCCGGUUUAUGAGUCCCUUUAUUCCUUAUUUAUCAUGUAAUUGGUUGCUUGCCUAUAAAAGGGGUUAUCUCGUUGUGUAAAAGGGGAGGGAUGAAAAACAAUGAAUUGAAGGGAAGCUAUUUGAUGUUUUGCUUGAAAGAGUGUGGUGUCCAAUUCCAAGAAUCUUCCUUCCUUCCUUCUCUAAAGUCCUUCUCUUCUAAGUGACGCGGCGUUCCCCCCCCCCCCGACUUCCACAACUUCCUCUAGCGCAGGCGGCGCUCAUCUUCCGGCUUCCCAUUCACUCUUCCGGACUCCUUCCCGAUCCGACGAAUCUUCGUCCGGAUUAUUUAUCCUUGGAAUAGAUUAUUGUGUUUUGUUUUUUUUUUCCAAACAUCCUGCUACCUCAAUUAACCCAGGACUUCUGUUCCAGAUCUUGUCGGUUUCCUCCAUCCGUCUCAACGAAGGACGACCCGUCAGCGAAUCAGGACCCUGGACUUGCCUCCCUCUUCCAGGAUUUUUCUCGAGCAUCGCGUCCGUGUGAUCCUUCUACUACAAUUCUGAGUAAGUCGUUAUUGGAUUCAGUUAAGUUCCCAAAUUUUUAUACUUAACAGCAGGAAAUUAAAAGUAGAACAACGUGCCCUAAUUAUGUGUUGAUUUCCUAAUCAACAACGAUCCUUCUUCUAAAUUUAUUAUAGGAACUGAUCUAUUGUCGGUAGUUUCUUACAGUAAAUUCGAUUUUAAUAUAAUCAUCUGAUAGCUGUUAGAUUUGAGUUGGCUAAUAGUUUAUGAAUUGGGUUGCUGAAAUCUAAUUAUAUAAAAAAAAAGAAUUAGUU